Molecule: long non-coding RNA, 980 nt
Filed under: Monodelphis domestica (gray short-tailed opossum)
Lineage: Eukaryota; Metazoa; Chordata; Mammalia; Didelphimorphia; Didelphidae
Description: lncRNA (ENSMODG00000033959.2)
Source: RNAcentral
AAAGACAAAGAGAAAAGAAAGAAAGAAAGAAAGAAAGAAAGAAAGAAAGAAAGAAAGAAAGAAAGAAAGAAAGAAAGAAAGAAAGAAAGAAAGAAAGAAAGAAAGAAAGAAAGAAAGAAAGAAAGAAAGAAAGAAAGAAAGAAAGAAAGAAAGAAAGAAAGAAAGAAAGAAAGAAAGAAAGAAAGAAAGAAAGAAAGAAAGAAAGGAGGAAGAAAGAAAGCAAGCUAUAAUUUUUCUCAUUUCUAUUUAUCAGUUCUUUCUCUGAAGGUAGACACAUACAAGUCAUUCUAUUUUUUCCUUUUUUUAUUAAGAAUAUUUUUCCAUGGUUACAUGAUUCAUGAUCCUUCCCCCCCCUCCACUGUUUCCUCCCUCCUCCCAAAUCCAACAGGCAGUUCCACUGGGUUAUACAUAUAUCAUUGUUCAAAACCUAUUUCCGUGUUAUUCAUAUCUGCACUAAUGCAAUCCUUUAACAUCAAAACUCUAAUCAUAUCCCUAUCACAUUACGUGAUCAAUCACAUUUUUCUAAAGCAUUUCUGUUUCCACAGUUCUUUCUCUGGAUGUGGAUAUCAUUCUUUCUCACAAGUUCCUCUGAAUUGUCCUGGGCCAUUGCAUUGCUGUCAGCUCAGCAUUGCAGAGCCAGUGGUUUUAUAGGAAGAAAUGAGCUAUAAUGCAAGGUCAUCUGAUUGAUUUCACAUUUCUUGUGUCAAAACCAUGAAAACACCAGGGAAGGAUUGGCCAGUGAAGCAUCAAUAUGUGCCAUAAAACAUGGAAGUUUCCAGAUAUGGAGUCAUCCAGAUAAGAGGAGGAUAAAGUUGCCAGAAUUGUUAAGAUAUACGUAGAGCAGAGGCAGCCUUAUGGUUCUCAAUGAGGCAAAAAACAAAAACAACAACAAAAAUGCUCAGAAUUUUUUGGCCUACCACACCACCAACCCACCUCUCACUUCAAAAUACAAACCCAAUAAAAACGUGUCCACUGAGACA